RNAcentral lists this long non-coding RNA (511 nucleotides) under Citrus x clementina. Its description in RNAcentral is "Citrus clementina (C. clementina) long non-coding RNA (CCLE_LNC002690)". The record is from RNAcentral. Lineage: Eukaryota; Viridiplantae; Streptophyta; Magnoliopsida; Sapindales; Rutaceae.
AAAUUAAAGUUGAGAUGGAAAAGUAAUAAUAUUAUAAAGCGCCGACUGAAGUGCGGUGGAGGCUUUUGUCAUCAGCCAUUCCUGUCCCAAUCUUGGCAUUUUUCAUUUCUGUAUUUUUCUUUUGGAAUCACGUCACGUGAACUCGCAUUUGGUUGGUCUCUAGCAAUAACAAAAUGAAAGGUCUGCCUACUAUGCAUAAAGGAUCUGCCAUAAAAAGUGGCCAAUUUGGCCGACAAAUUCUCAUCACUCUGGCGUGAAAAUCUAGAAUAGUGACGUUAGCAAGUGCACUCUGAAGUCACGGCUAUAUCGGCUGUGGCUGUGGGCUAACAAACCCAAUUCUUUGUCUUUUUCUUAAACUACCGUUGGAUAAAAAUUGGACGACUGAGAUUGAGACACGCGACCAGCAGCCCCAUGAAAUAAUCUGAUUGGAAAGUAAUGGGCAGAUUAAAACAAGUGUUAAGCCGUGUUUGGUAUUCACGUAUAGAAAUUUUUAAGUUAGAACUAUUAUAUA